CUGCUUAUACAUGUGAAUGAUUUGAAUUCACAAAAUUAUGUUGUUUUUUUUUUUUUUUUUUAAUUUUUUUAAACCAUUGCCCAUUGUUUUUAACUGCUGCUUAGAAAUGUGAAUGAUUUGAAUUCACAAAAUUGUGUUUUUUUAUUUAUUUUUUUUAUUUUUUUAAACCAUUGCCCAUUGUUUUUAACUGCUGCUUAGAAAUGUGAAUGAUUUAGGUUCACUUAUAGUCUUUUUGAAAUCAGUGUCUUUUAAUUUUACUGCUCCUUCAAAAUGUUAAUAACUUCAGUUCACUAAAUCUUGUUUGAUGUGUAAAUAGUCUUUGUUGGAACCAUUCUCCAUUGUUUUAACUGCUAUUUAAAAAUGUGAAGGUUUUCAGUUCCCUUAAUAUCUUUGAAAUGUAAAUAGUCUUUUUAUAAUUACUGUCCAUUGUUUUAACUGCUGCUUAGAAAUGUGAGUAAUUUCAGUUUACUAAAUCUUGUUUGAACUGUAAAUAGUAUUGGUUCAAAUCAUUGCCCAUGGUUUUAACUGCUGCUUUAAAUGUGAAUAAAAUGUAAUGUUUUGAGUUCCUUAUUUGUCUUUGAAAUGUAAAUAGUCCUUUUGUAACUAUUGCCCUUUGUUUUAACUACUGCUUAAUAUGUGAUUAACUUCAGUUCACUAAAUCUUCUUUGAAGUGUAAAUAGUCUUUGUUGAAAUAUUAUUAACUGCUAACUAUCAAUAAGAUUUUUUACUUUGGAAUUUCAAAAACGGCCACCGUUGCCAUGAAAACUGCAAAAUUGUCAAUUUUCAAUUUCCAAACAUGCUUUUAAUGUUAUGAAAGUUUAAAUACUGUAUACCCAUGCAUACAUAUGCAUCCCCUGUUAAACAAAUUAAAAAUAGCUGCCGCUUAGUGGCAAUGGGGGAAGGGUGACAUCCGCUAUUGCUUGCAAUGGCAAUUCUAGUUAUUAUUAUUUUUCUUCCACCUAAUUUUGUCCGCUCGCUUUCUCAGAGCCAAAGGAACCAAUCUGAAUGAUGUGCACUAUAACAAGGAACCCUGACUUUCCUGUUGCUUUUCAAUAUUGGCACUAAAAAAAUGGCUGCCAUCACCAUGGAAACGGAAAAAUGGUGAAAAAAUAUAAUUUUGGAGUUAGGUGAAUUGUUUGAGAAUGCUUAAGCUUAAAAUCUUUAGAUUUUAAUACAAUGUAGGUGCCCACUAUAUACUGCUUUGGGAUGAUUUUGGCAAUCAUUGGAACUGCUAUGUUGCCAUGGAU
This 1247-nucleotide long non-coding RNA is filed under the name Mytilus galloprovincialis (Mediterranean mussel). Lineage: Eukaryota; Metazoa; Mollusca; Bivalvia; Mytilida; Mytilidae. The record is from RNAcentral.